GGUGAUUUUUCCCUUGGCGCCAUCCUUCGGCCCGGCCGGCGACACCGACUUGGUCUCGGCGGCUGCGGCGGUGGCGUACUCGGCCACGCGCGAGAGGAGGUAGCCGUAGGGCGAUGCGCGGUGGGGCGGAGGGGAGGGGGAGGUGAGCCUGGGGUGGGAGUUGGAGAUCGGAGAUUUGGACGGAGAUCGGCGAACGGAGGAACGGGCGAGAGUGGAUAAGAGCCGACGGGAAGCCAUCUGGU
This 242-nucleotide long non-coding RNA is filed under the name Fragaria vesca (wild strawberry). RNAcentral describes it as "long non-coding RNA (FVES_LNC002203)". Lineage: Eukaryota; Viridiplantae; Streptophyta; Magnoliopsida; Rosales; Rosaceae. The record is from RNAcentral.